Molecule: non-coding RNA, 474 nt
Organism: Nycticebus coucang (slow loris)
Lineage: Eukaryota; Metazoa; Chordata; Mammalia; Primates; Lorisidae
Source: the annotation of a RefSeq genome assembly
UUCCCCCUCUGCCACCUUCCCCCUGCCAUGGGCUCCAGGCUCCUGCCCUGGGUGAUGCUCUACCUCCUGGGAGCAGGCCCCGCAGAGGCUGGAGUCACCCAAACUCCAAGACACCUGAUCAAAGCAAGAGGACAGCAAGUGACAUUGAGGUGUUCCCCUGUCCCUGGGCAUGCCAGUGUGUACUGGUAUAAACAGGCCCUGGGUAAGGGACCCCAGUUUCUCUUUGAAUAUUACAAUGGGAUACAGAGAGAAAAAGGGAACUUCCCUGAUCGAUUCUCAGGUCACCAGUUCCGUGAAUAUCACUCUGAGCUGAACAUUAGUGCCUUGGAGCUGGGGGACUCAGCCCUGUAUCUGUGUGCCAGUAGUGUUGCACAGCCCUGCAGAGCCACCAAUGUUCUGUGCACAAACCUCCCUGCUACAACCUCAAGCACCCUCAGCUCUGACAUAUCUGUGACAACCUGGCAGCCGGGGUGA